RNAcentral lists this ribosomal RNA (497 nucleotides) under uncultured bacterium. RNAcentral describes it as "partial 16S ribosomal RNA". It matches the Rfam family "Bacterial small subunit ribosomal RNA", at positions 28 to 507 of the family's 1533-position model. The record is from RNAcentral.
GAUGAACGCUGGCGGCGUGCCUAAUACAUGCAAGUCGAGCGAACAGACGAGGAGCUUGCUCCUCUGACGUUAGCGGCGGACGGGUGAGUAACACGUGGAUAACCUACCUAUAAGACUGGGAUAACUUCGGGAAACCGGAGCUAAUACCGGAUAAUAUAUUGAACCGCAUGGUUCAAUAGUGAAAGACGGUUUUGCUGUCACUUAUAGAUGGAUCCGCGCCGCAUUAGCUAGUUGGUAAGGUAACGGCUUACCAAGGCAACGAUGCGUAGCCGACCUGAGAGGGUGAUCGGCCACACUGGAACUGGGACACGGUCCAGACUCCUACGGGAGGCAGCAGUAGGGAAUCUUCCGCAAUGGGCGAAAGCCUGGCGGAGCAACGCCGCGUGAGUGAUGAAGGUCUUCGGAUCGUAAAACUCUGUUAUUAGGGAAGAACAAAUGUGUAAGUAACUAUGCACGUCUUGACGGUACCUAAUCAGAAAGCCACGGCUAACUACGUG